GCCCUAUAUAGAUGUAUUCAACGCUAGACAGUUGGGCAUCUCCCUGUAGGAUGAAGUUUAAUUAGAAGCUCUGGCAAUAAUUUUCAUCGUGUGGCUAAAGUCGAAAUGGAAUGAGUCAGAGUGGAAUAGGUUAACCGUAAGACCUUGAGUUGAAAAACUCUAAAAUUGAGCUAGAGAUACGGGAGUUUUGAAAUUUCGUAUUUUCUAGUUACGGUGCU
This 218-nucleotide non-coding RNA is filed under the name unclassified sequences. RNAcentral describes it as "IS605-orfB-I RNA". It matches the Rfam family "IS605-orfB-I RNA". The record is from Rfam by way of RNAcentral.